UUGGAGGGCAAGUCUGGUGCCAGCAGCCGCGGUAAUUCCAGCUCCAAUAGCGUAUAUUAAAGUUGUUGCAGUUAAAAAGCUCGUAGUUGAAUUUCGAGACCGGUUUACUGGUCGUGCUUUUGUACGUACUGGUAUUAUUGGUUUCUUCUUUCUGACGAACUAUAAUGCCAUUAAUUUGGUGUUUUAGGGAAUCAGGACUGUUACUUUGAAAAAAUUAGAGUGUUUAAAGCAGGCUCACGCUUGAAUACAUUAGCAUGGAAUAACGGAAUAGGACGUUUGAUUCUAUUUUGUUGGUUUCUAGGAUCGACGUAAUGAUUAAUAGGGAUAGUUGGGGGCAUUAGUAUUCAAUUGUCAGAGGUGAAAUUCUUGGAUUUAUUGAAGACUAACUACUGCGAAAGCAUUUGCCAAGGAUGUUUUCAUUAAUCAAGAACGAAAGUUAGGGGAUCGAAGACGAUCAGAUACCGUCGUAGUCUUAACCAUAAACUAUGCCGACUAGGGAUCGGAUGAUGUUAAUUUUUUAAUGACUCAUUCGGCGCCUUACGGGAAAC
RNAcentral lists this ribosomal RNA (548 nucleotides) under uncultured Glomeromycotina. RNAcentral's name for it is "SSU rRNA". It matches the Rfam family "Eukaryotic small subunit ribosomal RNA", at positions 548 to 1098 of the family's 1831-position model. The record is from RNAcentral. Lineage: Eukaryota; Fungi; Glomeromycota.